GACGAAAGAUGGAGGCGUGCUUAACACAUGCAAGUCGAACGGUAAGGCCUUUCGGGGUACACGAGUGGCGAACGGGUGAGUAACACGUGGAUGAUCUGCCCUGCACUUCGGGAUAAGCCCGGGAAACUGGGUCUAAUACCGGAUAGGACUGCGCGGUGCAUGCCGUGGGGUGGAAAGAUUUAUCGGUGCAGGAUGGGCCCGCGGCCUAUCAGCUUGUUGGUGGGGUAAUGGCCUACCAAGGCGACGACGGGUAGCCGGCCUGAGAGGGCGACCGGCCACACUGGGACUGAGACACGGCCCAGACUCCUACGGGAGGCAGCAGUGGGGAAUAUUGCACAAUGGGCGGAAGCCUGAUGCAGCGACGCCGCGUGAGGGAUGACGGCUUUCGGGUUGUAAACCUCUUUCAGCAGGGACGAAGCGUGAGUGACGGUACCUGCAGAAGAAGCACCGGCUAACUACGUG
Molecule: ribosomal RNA, 462 nt
Filed under: uncultured bacterium
Lineage: Bacteria
Description: partial 16S ribosomal RNA
Rfam family: Bacterial small subunit ribosomal RNA
Source: RNAcentral